RNAcentral lists this long non-coding RNA (1778 nucleotides) under Junco hyemalis (dark-eyed junco). RNAcentral's name for it is "lncRNA (ENSJHYG00000003471.1)". The record is from RNAcentral. Lineage: Eukaryota; Metazoa; Chordata; Aves; Passeriformes; Passerellidae.
UCCAGAAAGGGUGCGCUCCGGGAGCGAGGGGGCUGCUCUGAGUCGCCACCGGGUGAGCCAGCUUGAUUUUUGGCGAGCUCCGCUCCGCUCUCCUGCUCUGCCUCCGAUCCGGUGCGCCCCGGCGGCUCCUCUCCCGCUCCGCGUUAUCCCUCGCAGAGGCUCCGCUGAUGCAUCAGAGCGCGGGGCUCUCGCUAUUCGCCUUUUGCAUAGAGGGUUUUUUUUUUCCUCCUCUCUCCCUCCCUUCUCUCUCUCUCUCCUCUCGCUCUUUCGCAGCUCUCGAGCCGCAGCUGGAAGUGUUAGCUGGUGUUGUUGCGAGUAAAUUUGUUGUUGUUGUUGUUUUGUUUUGUUAUUUUUAACACUUCAUGGUGCUUUUCCUCUGGGCUCUCUCCUGCAAAGUGCAGAGCGAGGAGAGAGGUUCAUCGGGGGAGGGAGGAGGGAAAGAGAGCGAAGGCAAAAAAAAAAAAUCAAAAAAAAAAUCAAAGUCUGUAUCGCAACCAAAAUAAUAAUAAUAAUAAUAAUAAUAAUAAGAGUUAAAAAAAGAGAGAGAGAGAGAGAGAGAAAAAACAACUCGGCCUCAAAGCUACAGCAAGAAGAUGAAAAAUAUUUAAAGGUUUGAUCCGGCAGGAGAGUUUAAAGCAUUGCGGAGUUUUAUAGCGCCCGUGACGUCAGGCGGGACACGGGCUCGGGGCCGGGCCAAUGGGCGCGCGCCGCCCGGCCUCAUUAGCAUAAGAGUCUAGCGACAGGGAAACUUUGCGGGCUGUCAGUCAGGGCUCAGCUGACUGUCAGCGCCCGCUUAACCCCCUCCUGGCCGCCGGCACCGCGCCCGGGCUCGGCUCGGCUCGGCUCGGCUCGGCUCGGCUCGGCUCGACCGCCGCCGGCCCGCUUCGCACCGUGCGCGCCCGCGGCGAGCGCCCUGCCCCGGGGCGGAGUGCCCGGCGCUGCCCCUGAGCCCGGCCCGGCACCCGAGGGCGCGGGGCAGCUCCGGGCGGCCGGGAGCAGGGAGGGGGAGCGCCGGACGCGGUACUCCGGGAGAGCCGGCAGCGCCCGGCAGGGAGCGGGCAGCGCGGGGCUCCGCCGUGCCCGGCGCGGUACCUGCGGACGGGCGGGCGGGCGGCCGGCCCUUCCCCCGUGCCGGUCAUCGCUCCGCACCCCCGCGGCGCCCCGGUCACUUAUCGAUUAUUUUCUUACGGGGACAGGGCAUCGAUCCCUCCAUCCCCCACGCCCGCCCGGAGGUGCGAGAGCCCCGCAAGUUUGCAAACCCUGCGCCCCCUCCCGCCGCACCCGGCGCGCGGGCCAGGACUAAUUAAUUUAAUACAUUUAGAACUAAUUGUAUUUACUUUCGCCUCCCCCCCAGCCCCCCUUCCCCUCCAGUGCUGGAGGGGGCUGGGGCCGGUCCGGGGGCCGAGGAGCGGCGGCGGCUGGAGCGGAGCGGCGGAGCGGCUCGGUUCGAACCUCGACAGCGCCAUCUCUCGUCCGCAGAUUUCUUUGUCUCUGGAGGUCUGCACAGCCCUCCCUAGAACCAGCCAAAAGCAGAGCCAUGGUCCAGAAAUAAUCCUUAGCUCCUUUCUUCAAUUAAGACGUGGGAGUACAAAAAUUUGGUGACAAACAUUCCGCCGGCCGGGAAGGGGAGGCUCAAAUUCUGCUGCUCCUCACUCACCAGCGUGGGAAAGGAAAACAUCAGUCUGACAUUGCAGAAGGUCUUCUCCUCCCUGCCUUGCUGUGGCCACUGCCAAUAAUUGUGCCCACGCUGCUGUGGGGCAGCAGAAGGGACCUGAGGA